GCCUGGUUGACUCAGUUGGUAGAGUGUGUGACUCGUGAUGUCAGUGUAGUGAGUUCGAACCCCACAUUGGGUG
Molecule: transfer RNA, 73 nt
Filed under: Felis catus (domestic cat)
Lineage: Eukaryota; Metazoa; Chordata; Mammalia; Carnivora; Felidae
Rfam family: tRNA
About the family: Transfer RNA (tRNA) molecules are approximately 80 nucleotides in length. Their secondary structure includes four short double-helical elements and three loops (D, anti-codon, and T loops).
Source: Rfam by way of RNAcentral